UACGUAGGGUGCAAGCGUUGUCCGGAAUUAUUGGGCGUAAAGAGCUCGUAGGCGGUUUGUUGCGUCGGCUGUGAAAUCCCGAGGCUCAACCUCGGGUCUGCAGUCGAUACGAGCAAACUAGAGUGUUGCAGGGGAGACUGGAAUUCCUGGUGUAGCGGUGGAAUGCGCAGAUAUCAGGAGGAACACCGAUGGCGAAGGCAGGUCACUGGGCCGCAACUGACGCUGAGGAGCGAAAGCAUGGGGAGCGAACAGG
Molecule: ribosomal RNA, 253 nt
Filed under: uncultured bacterium
Lineage: Bacteria
Description: partial 16S ribosomal RNA
Rfam family: Bacterial small subunit ribosomal RNA
Source: RNAcentral